GAAAGCCACCAGUAACAACCAUAGACCGGAAUGGAACACCAGAUUUUGAAAAUGAACGGCAAGUAUUUAAAACCUGAGAAGCCAAUUCAGUUGUUGGUGCCAAUAUUACAACACGAGGACUUUGAGGUGACGGUUUGCUAAGUCCUUGAAGUUCUUCUUGCCUAAGACGUUGAAUAAGUGGUAGUAGAUAAGCCAAAGUCUUUCCAGAUCCACUUUGAUCAGAUACUAUGCAGCUCUUUCCAGCCAUGAUGGGUUCAAAUGUCAGAGACUGAAUAUGUGAAGGACGCACAAAAUGCUGAUUCCUUAAGGCUUCUAUCAUAUAGUCACUGCAUCCCAUAUCGUGAAAGGAUUUUCUACUAAA
This 361-nucleotide unclassified non-coding RNA is filed under the name Hevea brasiliensis (rubber tree). The record is from RNAcentral. Lineage: Eukaryota; Viridiplantae; Streptophyta; Magnoliopsida; Malpighiales; Euphorbiaceae.